Molecule: ribosomal RNA, 1234 nt
Filed under: metagenome
Description: bacterial LSU rRNA
Rfam family: Bacterial large subunit ribosomal RNA
Source: RNAcentral
UGAAUACGAGACGCUAAGGCGUCGAAGUAGUGUAUGUCAUACUUCCAAGAAAAGCUUGCACUGUCAUAGAUAAAAAACGCCUGUACCAUAACCGACGCAGGUGGGUAGGUAGAGUAUACUAAGGGGCGCGAGAUAACUCUCUCUAAGGAACUCGGCAAAAUAACUCCGUAACUUCGGGAGAAGGAGUGCCUUAUUCUUAAGGUUGCAAUAACAAGAUCCAAGCAACUGUUUAUCAAAAACACAGGUCUCCGCUAAGUCGUAAGACGAUGUAUGGGGGCUGACGCCUGCCCAGUGCCAGAAGGUUAAAGAAGCUGGUUAGCAUAUGCGAAGCUAGUAACUGAAGCCCUGGUGAACGGCGGCCGUAACUAUAACGGUCCUAAGGUAGCGAAAUUCCUUGUCGGGUAAGUUCCGACCCGCACGAAAGGCGUAAUGAUUUGGAUACUGUCUCGGAGAGGGGCUCGGUGAAAUAGACUUGUCUGUGAAGAUGCGGACUACCUGCACCAGGACAGAAAGACCCUAUGAAGCUUUACUGUAACUUGAAAUUGAAAUUGGACUUUAUUCGCGCAGUAUAGGUGGGAGGCGUUGAUUAUAAUCUUGCGGGAUUAUUGGAGCCAUUAGUGAGAUACCACUCUUGUAAUGUUAGAUUUCUAACUUUGAAUCAUUAUCUGGUCAAAGAACAGUUUCAGGCGGGCAGUUUGACUGGGGCGGUCGCCUCCCAAACGGUAACGGAGGCGUACAAAGGUUUCCUCUGAACGGUUAGAAAUCGUAUCUAGAGUGUAAAGGCAUAAGGAAGCUUGACUGUGAGACCUACAAGUCGAGCAGGGACGAAAGUCGGUCUUAGUGAUCUGACGGUACUGAGUGGAAAGGCCGUCACUCAACGGAUAAAAGUUACUCUAGGAUAACAGGCUGAUCUCCCCCAAGAGUUCACAUCGACGGGGAGGUUUGGCACCUCGAUGUCGGCUCAUCGCAUCCUGGGGCGGUAGUACGUCCCAAGGGUUGGGCUGUUCGCCCAUGAAAGCGGUACGCGAGCUGGGUUCAGAACGUCGUGAGACAGUUCGGUCCAUAUCCGGUGUAGGCGUUAGAAUAUUGAGAGGAGCCUUCUUUAGUACGAGAGGACCGAGAAGGACAUACCUCUGGUGUACCAGUUAUCGUGCCAACGGUAGACGCUGGGUAGCUAUGUAUGGAGUGGAUAACCGCUGAAAGCAUCUAAGUGGGAAGCCCACCUCAAGAUAAG